GAAGCCCCGGCUAAAUAUUGUGCCAGCAGCCGCGGUAAUACGUAGGGGGCAAGUGUUAUCCGGAUUUAUUGGGUGUAAAGGGGGCGCAGACGGCCAUGGCAAGCCCGGUGUGAAAGGCAG
Molecule: ribosomal RNA, 120 nt
Filed under: uncultured bacterium
Lineage: Bacteria
Description: partial 16S ribosomal RNA
Rfam family: Bacterial small subunit ribosomal RNA
Source: RNAcentral